RNAcentral lists this ribosomal RNA (402 nucleotides) under bacterium. RNAcentral's name for it is "partial 16S ribosomal RNA". It matches the Rfam family "Bacterial small subunit ribosomal RNA", at positions 355 to 776 of the family's 1533-position model. The record is from RNAcentral.
UGGGGAAUUUUGCACAAUGGGGGAAACCCUGAUGCAGCGACGCCGCGUGAUUUAGAAGGCCUUCGGGUUGUAAAAAUCUUUUCUAUGGGAAGAAAAUGACAGUACCAUAGGAAUAAGGACCGGCUAAUUACGUGCCAGCAGCCGCGGUAAUACGUAAGGUCCGAGCGUUGUCCGGAAUCAUUGGGCGUAAAGGGUACGUAGGCGGGUAAGCAAGUUAGAAGUGAAAUCCUAUAGCUCAACUAUAGUAAGCUUUUAAAACUGCUCAUCUUGAGGUAUGGAAGGGAAAGUGGAAUUCCUAGUGUAGCGGUGAAAUGCGCAGAUAUCAGGAGGAAUACCGGUGGCGAAGGCGACUUUCUGGCCAUAACCUGACGCUGAGGUACGAAAGCGUGGGUAGCAAACAGG